This 119-nucleotide ribosomal RNA is filed under the name Triticum aestivum (bread wheat). The record is from RNAcentral. Lineage: Eukaryota; Viridiplantae; Streptophyta; Magnoliopsida; Poales; Poaceae.
GGAUGUGAUCAUACCAGCACUAAAGCACCGGAUCCCAUCAGAACUCCAAAGUUAAGCGUGCUUGGCCGAGAGUAGUACUAGGAUGGGUAACCUCCAGGGAAGUCCUCGUGUUGCAUUCC